Mustela erminea (ermine) is the source of this 989-nucleotide long non-coding RNA. RefSeq lists it as uncharacterized. The record is from RefSeq and is a predicted model, not a curated record. The transcript is spliced from 5 exons. Lineage: Eukaryota; Metazoa; Chordata; Mammalia; Carnivora; Mustelidae.
CUAAAGAAUCACGGGGAGAAAGCCAUGAAUUCUGUGUGUUGCUUUCCCCUCCUCUGGAGUUCCGCAGUUCUCCUUGAUCGGUGAGCUUGAUCCUGGCUGGAUGUUCUUGUUGAUCAUCUGCGUCUGUUGCAGUGAUUGUCACAUGUUCUUGCCCGAGGCGGAAUCCACCGCCCUUGCCAGCGGCCGGGCUAAGUGAUCUGCGCAGGUCACGCUCUGCAGCUUUUGUUCCUGAUCGCUUUCCGUACCGCUUUGGAGGACGGGAAUGAAGAUGGCGGCACCCAGUGUCCCACCGGAGGAGCGGAGACCUCCAGCCCCACUCCUCAGUGUCCUCGGAGAAAAGCCGUCAGUCCCUCCCGUCUCCCUGGUCUCCGGCCGCGCUCUGUGCUCACCGGCCUGUGACCCAGCGUCUCUGUCUGGUGCACAGCCCCGUUUGGAGCCUGCAUAGCCUGCCGUGCUCCCGUGCCGCUUGUCCCGGAGAAGGAAGCAUCGUUCACCUCAUGGAGACUUACAUAAGGUCCAAGAAACUGGAGCUCUGAGAGGAGAGGAAACUAGGACUUCAGGGUUACCAAUUAGCCCUAAGGCCAAGAAAACAAAACACUGCUGGAUCUGCGGCUUGAAGCUUAAAAUCGAGUCAGCGUGCUGCUGGACUCCUUCUGACCCAGCACCUCAGACCAGGUGAGCGGACACGCGAUUCCAGGUGCUUCCAUGAACUACGCAUGGCAUUCUCCCUGUAAACGGGGGGGAAGGACAGGCCUUACCAGUUACAGAACCCGCACACUCACCAGUUUCACUGACCCUGUGCACAUCUGUGGACCCCCGCAGCAUGAGGGAGCUGGGCCUUUUUGGUCUUUGAAAAUGGACUAAAAGCUAUAGAAUAUUUCAUGGGUUAUUUGUUCUACCAUAAAGACCUGCUUCCUCUUGGGAGAAUGACUCCCUGGCUAAGGAGAGCUGGAAGGUCUGGAUGUCUUCCUUCUCUCCAUGCCCACCAU